AAUCAACGCUGGCGGCGUGCCUAACACAUGCAAGUCGAACGCGAAAGCCCCUUCGGGGGUAAGUAGAGUGGCGUCCGGGUGAGUAACACGUAGGUAAUCUACCUUCGGGUGGGGAAUAACUCGCCGAAAGGCGAGCUAAUACCGCAUAAUGCAGCGGCACCUAAUGGUGAUUAGUUGUUAAAGCGGGGGAUCGUAAGACCUCGCGCCUGAAGAGGAGCCUGCGGCAGAUUAGCAGUUGGUGAGGUAAUGGCUCACCAAGGCUUCGAUCUGUAGCUGGUCUGAGAGGACGGCCAGUCACACUGGCACUGACACACGGGCCAGACUCCUACGGGAGGCAGCAGUGGGGAAUUUUGGGCAAUGGGCGCAAGCCUGACCCAGCAACGCCGCGUGAGGGAGGAAAUCC
RNAcentral lists this ribosomal RNA (403 nucleotides) under uncultured bacterium. RNAcentral's name for it is "bacterial SSU rRNA". It matches the Rfam family "Bacterial small subunit ribosomal RNA", at positions 32 to 416 of the family's 1533-position model. The record is from RNAcentral.